AAAGGAAUAGACGGGAGCCCGCACAAGCAGUGGAGUAUGUGGUUUAAUUCGACGCAACGCGAAAAACCUUACCAAGGAUUGACAUCUCAAGAAGUCGGCGUAAUGGCUGAUGUGCCUCUUCGGAGGAACUUGAAGACAGGUGGUGCAUGGUUGUCGUCAGCUCGUGUCGUGAGAUGUUGGGUUAAGUCCCGCAACGAGCGCAACCCUUACUGUUAGUUGCUACGCAAGAGCACUCUGGCAGGACUGCCGUUGACAAAACGGAGGAAGGUGGGGACGACGUCAAAUCAUCAUGCCCCUUAUAUCUUGGGCUACACACGUACUACAAUGGCGCUAAACAAAGGGCAGCAACCCCGCGAGGGUGAGCAAAUCCCACAAAGAGCGCCCCAGUUCAGACUGCAGGCUGCAACUCGCCUGCACGAAGUUGGAAUUGCUAGUAAUCGCGAAUCAGCAUGUCGCGGUGAAUACGUUCCCGGGCUUUGUACACACCGCCCGU
Molecule: ribosomal RNA, 493 nt
Filed under: uncultured bacterium
Lineage: Bacteria
Description: bacterial SSU rRNA
Rfam family: Bacterial small subunit ribosomal RNA
Source: RNAcentral